Long non-coding RNA from Manduca sexta (tobacco hornworm), 755 nucleotides. RefSeq lists it as uncharacterized. The record is from RefSeq and is a predicted model, not a curated record. The transcript is spliced from 2 exons. Lineage: Eukaryota; Metazoa; Arthropoda; Insecta; Lepidoptera; Sphingidae.
UUUAUGACGAUUUUUUGACAAAACGCAUGAUGACACGUUGUUUAAUAUUGACAUCAUUCAUCCAAACCGGAAAAUCAUUCCAACAACCAUACAAAAAACAAUAAAACGAAAAAUGUAGGGCUUUCAUAAUGCAGUUUGAAUUAUGGGCUUACUCCGCAUGCUGGUGGUAUCCUACAUGCUCAUAUACAUCACAAUAUAUUUUGGUUUGGUUGGAAGUUUGAUUUAUGUACGGAGUAUAUUUUUAGACCCCAAGUACGUAGAAUCAAGUAUAUCAGAAGAGCUGUAUUCACAACAACGAUAAUAAAACAACUUAUAAUUAUAAAAGUAUAUUAAGACACUACUGGGACGGUUCAAACAGUACAAGAUUGAAAUACGAGGUAACAAAACAACUUAAAAACAUGACAGUCACACUGACCGAAGCGAAAUCAAAGGAUUUCCUAUACUUUAUAAAGAUAUGAGAUUGCUUUUUUAGUUACUUAGAUUUUAACUAUUGUAUAAAAUAUGGGAUCAAUUUUAGAUACAAAGAAUAAAAUAUUUAUGCUUGAUAAUUUUAAAUUAAACAAUUAAUAAAAUUGAAACUUCUUGGAUGUACUUAAAAAUGGAUGUUUAAAAAAAAUAUAUGAAAGUGUUUCUAUUACAAAAUAUCGACAAACAUACAAUAAACAGUUUCAAGGAAUGAAAUAAUGGUGUAAACAAAAAUAUAUCUUACAUUUAUAAAAAAAAAAACUUAUAUGAAAAAUACAUAGUAUGAUAUA